Molecule: ribosomal RNA, 468 nt
Filed under: uncultured bacterium
Lineage: Bacteria
Description: partial 16S ribosomal RNA
Rfam family: Bacterial small subunit ribosomal RNA
Source: RNAcentral
GACGAACGCUGGCGGCGUGCUUAACACAUGCAAGUCGAACGGAAAGGCCCUGCUUUUGUGGGGUGCUCGAGUGGCGAACGUGUGAGUAACACGUGAGUAACCUGCCCUUUACUUUGUGAUAACUUCAUGAAACUUGUUCUAAUACCGGAUAUGAUCUCCUGCUGCAUGGUUUGGGUUGGAAAUUUUCGGCGGUUGGGGAUGGACUCGCGGCUUAUCAGCUUGUUGGUGGGGUAGUGGCUUACCAAGGCUUUGACGGGUAUCCGGCCUGAGAGGGUGACCGGCCACAUUGGGACUGAGAUACGGCCCAGAAUCCUACGGGAGGCAGCAGUGGGGAAUAUUGCAAAAUGGGCGGAAGCCUGAUGCAGCAACGCCGCGUGCGGGAUGAAGGCCUUCGGGUUGUAAACCGAUUUCGCAUGUGACGAAGCGUGAGUGACGGUAAUGGGUAAAGAAGCACCGGCUAACUACGUG